Molecule: long non-coding RNA, 960 nt
Filed under: Eucalyptus grandis
Lineage: Eukaryota; Viridiplantae; Streptophyta; Magnoliopsida; Myrtales; Myrtaceae
Description: long non-coding RNA (EGRA_LNC003289)
Source: RNAcentral
GCAAUUUCAUGUCAUGGAAUUUCAAUUUCACAUUAAGGAAUAAUUACACUAAAAAGAUAAAAUAAAAUAGCAAAAUAAUAAAACAAAAAAUAAGAUAAAGAAAAUACCUAAAUUUUCUUUUACUUUUCUCUUUUUUUUUUUCUGUUUUCCUGAAAAAGAAAAAGAGAAAAAAUAAAGCUAGUGGGUUCGGCGAAGGGAGCUCUCUGGCUAGGGUUCCGGCGAGGCUCCGAAGGACGUCGUGACGGCGGCGCGGCACCAGGGGGCUUCGAGAUCGGCACGGGGCGACGCGGGCGGCACGGCGAAACCGGUGGGUGGUGUCGCGGGCGGAGCAGGAGCUUCAGACGGUGUCAGAUCUGGGCCGAUUGCUGUUCAGAUCUGCAGGCGGCAAGCGGCGUCGAUCCGCGGGCGUCAGGGCGGCACGGCGACGGUGAAUCGGCGAGGAGAUUUGCGGUUGGCUGCUACGGCGUCACGGACGGUGGUGUGGCAGCAGGGAGCGUCGCGGCUCGAGAUCUGGGCGCGGGCGUCGAGGAGCGGACGGAGGCAGGGCCUCGCGGCGGGACCGAACGCCAGAUCUCGGAGCGGAUCUGCUGCGGAGGAAGAGAUCGGAGGCAUGAGCGUUGAGCGGCGGCCCAGAUCUAGAUCUGGCGCGGGGUGCUCCGGCAGAGACGCGGUGAACGCGAUGACGAGCAGCAGCAAAUGGCAGAGGAGGCACGGCUGAGUCGCGGCUGCGGCGACGAGCUCGAGGACUGAGCAGGGCGUCGAGGCUGCAGGGGUGGUGACCGGCGGAGGCGGGUCGGUGGUGCGGCGGCUCAAUGACGGACGGCACCGGCGCGGGCUGGCAGUGACAGGGCCGGCGAAGACCCCCCCUGCGGGGAAGAUGAACAGUCGCGCAAAGGGGGGGUUUUUUUCUUUCUUCUUUUUCUUUUUCUUUUUUUCUCCACUCACUUUUCACUCUUUUGC